GCCUGGGUGGCUCACUUGGUUAAGCGUCUGACUUCAGUUCAGGUCAUGAUCUCACGGUUCAUGGGUUCAAGCCCCGUGUCAGGCU
This 85-nucleotide transfer RNA is filed under the name Felis catus (domestic cat). It matches the Rfam family "tRNA". Rfam says of the family: Transfer RNA (tRNA) molecules are approximately 80 nucleotides in length. Their secondary structure includes four short double-helical elements and three loops (D, anti-codon, and T loops). Lineage: Eukaryota; Metazoa; Chordata; Mammalia; Carnivora; Felidae. The record is from Rfam by way of RNAcentral.